UACGUAGGGGGCAAGCGUUGUCCGGAGUUACUGGGCGUAAAGCGCACGCAGGCGGUCGAUUAAGUUUGGAGUGACAGUUGGUGGCUUAACUGCCAAAGUGCUUUGAAAACUGAUCGACUUGAGGGCUUCAGAGGGACACGGAAUUCCGGGUGGAGUGGUGAAAUGCGUAGAGAUCCGGAGGAACACCAGCGGCGAAGGCGGCAUCCUGGACUGGUACUGACGCUCAUGAGCGAAAGCGUGGGGAGCGAUCCGG
Molecule: ribosomal RNA, 253 nt
Filed under: uncultured bacterium
Lineage: Bacteria
Description: partial 16S ribosomal RNA
Rfam family: Bacterial small subunit ribosomal RNA
Source: RNAcentral